AAUGAACGUUGGCGGCGUGGAUUAGGCAUGCAAGUCGAGCGAGAUUCCCCGCAAGGGGAUGAAAGCGGCGAAAGGGAGAGGAACACGUGGGUUAUCUGCCUCUGGGUCUGGGAUAGCGGCGGGAAACUGCCGGUAAUACCAGAUAACAUCUUCGGAUCAAAGGUGUGAUUCCGCCUGGAGAUGAGCCCGCGUCCUAUUAGCUAGUUGGUGGGGUAAUGGCCUACCAAGGCAAAGAUGGGUACGGGGUGUGAGAGCAUGCCCCCGCUCACUGGGACUGAGACACUGCCCAGACACCUACGGGUGGCUGCAGUCGAGAAUCGUCGGCAAUGGGCGCAAGCCGGACCGAGCGACGCCGCGUGCGGGAUGAAGGCCUUCGGGUUGUAAACCGCUGUCAGAGAGGCGGAAAUGCAUAGGGGCUCUCCCCUAUGUUUGACCUAAUCUCAGAGGAAGGACGGGCUAAGUUCGUGCCAGCCGCCGCGGUAACAC
Molecule: ribosomal RNA, 486 nt
Filed under: uncultured bacterium
Lineage: Bacteria
Description: bacterial SSU rRNA
Rfam family: Bacterial small subunit ribosomal RNA
Source: RNAcentral